GGAAGUGUAUUCUGUGAUUGUUCUGUGCAUCGAUCGAUAGAUAGAUAGUCAUCUGUUUAUCAGAUCUGCUCAGUGCCGACCCUCCGUCACACCUUUGUUUCCCAGUAAUUCUGCCUGGCAUUGCUGUGGCAACAUUGUUCUGGAUUGGCUUUCCCGCUGCCUUUGCUAGCGACGACGGGUCGUUAGCAACAGACGCACGGUCAUGCGCUGGUCCUCCACCACCCACUCCGCCUCGCGGACUCCAGUCAUCUCCACGACUGGAGCACGCAUAGGAUGGGGCUCGGGCGGUGGUGCCGGUGCCGAAGCCAACAACAGUUGCCCACGUCAGCCAUUUUCAAAAUUUCUUGGUUAAGUAACUUUGUAGCUUAGCUUCGGAUUUUCGUAAUAUAUUUGCUGUUCAGAACACUUCCAUGUACGCGGCAUUGCCGAGCAAUUUGCCCAUUCUUUUG
Non-coding RNA from Drosophila pseudoobscura pseudoobscura, 449 nucleotides. The record is from Rfam. NCBI's taxonomy places the organism in Eukaryota, Metazoa, Arthropoda, Insecta, Diptera, Drosophilidae.